UUUAACAUAUCUUUUUGAGAUUACUUAUUUUAUCAUAAUUGUUUUUCCUACAUAUGAUACUGUAUAUAAGUACAUGUAAGAAGAAAACCUAAAACCUGAAGUAAGCACAAGUCCAAUGAAUCCUAACUUUAGAAACAACAAACUUGGGAUAUGAUGAGAUUUCUUGCAUCCUCUCAAAACUCCCAGUUAAAUCUCUUUUACAUUUGAAGACUGUGCAUAAAUCAUGGUGUUCAAUCAUCAAUGACCCCAGUUUCAUCAAGAUGCAAAUGGAAGAAUCGUCCUCCAAUGCUGAUAAUCAAAAAAUACUCUUAAUUUCAUCGAAAAUAAUUCCAUCUCCUAGUUUGGAUGAGAACAUGUUAGAUUUCAACAUCAGUUCAAUAAAUGCAUCAUCAAUGAGCAUGAAUUCUCAAGUUGUUCCUCUCUAACCACCAAACUUUCAUAUGUCCCAAGAUGUUUCAUAUCUAUUGAUGAGUUCUUGUAACGGUUUUUUAUGUAUUUUGUAUAGCUUCAAAAUGUUAUAUGGAAUCCAUCAAUUCAAAAAUAUAAAAUUGUCAAUAAGCUUAAUCCUUUGAUACGUGUGACACGUUAUGAAUCAACGCUUUAUGGUUUUGCAUAUGAUUCUAUUAGUGAUGAUUAUAAGAUAAUCCCUACAUUUGUAUUUAAUGCAAAGGAUAGUUGUCAUAUUGUAGGAAUUUAUUCUGUGAAGAAUCAGUCUUGGAAAAUGAUUGACACUAUUCCGGCUGGCUAUCGCUUGUUGGACCAAAAUGCAGUUUCAUUCGAUGGUACGGUUAACAUGAUGGCAGCUAGAUCACACGAAUGAAAUGAAGUCAAAUGAAGAUGUCAAAUUUUUCUAAUCGUCUCUAUCUUUCUGGAUUUGUUGAGAUGGAUUUCUUGGUUUGUUUGCGAGAGAAAGAUGGGGAAUGGUGGACGUGGAAAAGUGUCAUGAAGAUUCCUACAUUAGGCUCAUUGAUUGGCCUUGGGGUUCACAAUUUCUAUCUAGAUGAUAUCAUUUUCUUGAAAGAAAAUGAAAAUAUCUUGAGGAGGAAAACAUAUGGUGGUUUUCUAGAAUAUGAUGUGAGGAAAAAAGAAGUAAAUGAAUUUACCUGGAAUCAAAUUUCGCCUGCUACAGAUUUAUCCAUCUUGUUCACAGAAGAAUUCCGUGGGACUAGAAGUUUGUGGAAAGUUUAGCUUCCUUGAAAAUUUAUUGGAUCUAGGAAAUUUUAUUUUAAACCUGUGUCUUGUUGCAUUUCUUUAUAUAUUUUUGUGUGAUUAAUGAUGAUACUUUACCGUCUCUGAUGCUUAAAUUGUUUUAAAGAAGUUAGUAGCUUUCAUGAUUGUUUGUCAAAGUUGUUAUAUAUUUGACAUUAGCUCCUUCCAUUUUUUGAAUGGUUAAGUUAUAUUUUUUGAAAAUAUGAUGUAUUCUUGAAAUAAUGUGAUUUUACAUGUAAGUUCUAUGCUUCUAUUCCUAGAAGUAUACAGUAAAAUAUUUUUAACACUGUA
Long non-coding RNA from Solanum pennellii, 1500 nucleotides. RefSeq lists it as uncharacterized. The record is from RefSeq and is a predicted model, not a curated record. The transcript has 2 exons. Lineage: Eukaryota; Viridiplantae; Streptophyta; Magnoliopsida; Solanales; Solanaceae.